UGGGGAAUUUUCCGCAAUGGGCAAAGCCUGACGGAGCAAUGCCGCGUGGAGGUGGAAGGCCUACGGGUCGUCAACUUCUUUUUCUCGGAGAAGAAACAAUGACGGUAUCUGAGGAAUAAGCAUCGGCUAACUCUGUGCCAG
Molecule: ribosomal RNA, 141 nt
Filed under: uncultured bacterium
Lineage: Bacteria
Description: partial 16S rRNA
Rfam family: Bacterial small subunit ribosomal RNA
Source: RNAcentral